This 69-nucleotide transfer RNA is filed under the name Ictidomys tridecemlineatus (thirteen-lined ground squirrel). RNAcentral describes it as "Spermophilus tridecemlineatus (thirteen-lined ground squirrel) tRNA". It matches the Rfam family "tRNA". Rfam says of the family: Transfer RNA (tRNA) molecules are approximately 80 nucleotides in length. Lineage: Eukaryota; Metazoa; Chordata; Mammalia; Rodentia; Sciuridae. RNAcentral also lists the same sequence under 1 other name. The record is from Rfam by way of RNAcentral.
GGGGUUGUGGCUUAGUGGUAGAGCGCUUGCCUCAUACUCAUGAGGCACUGGGUUUGAUCCUCAGCACCA